UUAACUGACGCUAAAGCUCGAAAGUGCGGGUAUCGAACAGGAUUAGAUACCCUGGUAGUCCGCACGGUAAACGAUGGAUGCCCGCUGUUUGCGAUAUAUUGUAAGCGGCCAAGCGAAAGCGUUAAGCAUCCCACCUGGGGAGUACGCCGGCAACGGUGAAACUCAAAGGAAUUGACGGGGGCCCGCACAAGCGGAGGAACAUGUGGUUUAAUUCGAUGAUACGCGAGGAACCUUACCCGGGCUUGAACUGCCGGCGAACGAUACAGAGAUGUUGAGGCCCUUCGGGGCGCCGGUGGAGGUGCUGCAUGGUUGUCGUCAGCUCGUGUCGUGAGGUGUCGGCUUAAGUGCCAUAACGAGCGCAACCCCUUUCUUCAGUUGCCAUCAGGUGAUGCUGGGCACUUUGGAGACACUGCCACCGUAAGGUGUGAGGAAGGUGGGGAUGACGUCAAAUCAGCACGGCCCUUACGUCCGGGGCUACACACGUGUUACAAUGGGUGAUACAGAGAGUUGGGUGCCGGCAACGUCGCUCUAAUCUUCAAAGUCAUCCUCAGUUCGGAUUGGGGUCUGCAACCCGACCCCAUGAAGCUGGAUUCGCUAGUAA
This 601-nucleotide ribosomal RNA is filed under the name uncultured bacterium. RNAcentral's name for it is "bacterial SSU rRNA". It matches the Rfam family "Bacterial small subunit ribosomal RNA", at positions 736 to 1341 of the family's 1533-position model. The record is from RNAcentral.